GUUUAGAUAGCUUAAAUAGAGCGUUGCAUUGAAGAUGCAAAGGAGAGUUAUCUCUGGAUA
Molecule: transfer RNA, 60 nt
Filed under: Garjajewia cabanisii
Lineage: Eukaryota; Metazoa; Arthropoda; Malacostraca; Amphipoda; Acanthogammaridae
Description: tRNA-Phe
Source: RNAcentral